GGCGGACGGGUGAGUAAUGCGUAGGAAUCUACCCAGUAGCGGGGGAUAGCUCGGGGAAACUCGGAUUAAUACCGCAUACACCCCCUUUCAUAUGAUUGGGGGGAAAGCAGGGGAUCUUCGGACCUUGCACUAUUGGAUGAGCCUACGUCUGAUUAGCUAGUUGGUAGAGUAAAGGCCUACCAAGGCGACGAUCAGUAGCUGGUCUGAGAGGACGAUCAGCCACACUGGGACUGAGACACGGCCCAGACUCCUACGGGAGGCAGCAGUGGGGAAUAUUGGACAAUGGGCGAAAGCCUGAUCCAGCAAUGCCGCGUGUGUGAAGAAGGCCUGCGGGUUGUAAAGCACUUUCGGCAGGGAAGAAAUGCUUGGGACUAAUACUCUCAAGUCUUGACGUCACCUGCAGAAGAAGCACCGGCUAACUCCGUGCCAGCAGCCGCGGUAAUACGGAGGGUGCUAGCGUUAAUCGGAAUUACUGGGCGUAAAGCGCGCGUAGGCGGUUUGGCAAGUCGGAUGUGAAAGCCCCGGGCUUAACCUGGGAAUUGCAUUCGAGACUGCCUGGCUAGAGUUUGGUAGAGGAAAGCGGAAUUCCGGGUGUAGCGGUGAAAUGCGUAGAUAUCCGGAGGAACAUCAGUGGCGAAGGCGGCU
Molecule: ribosomal RNA, 645 nt
Filed under: uncultured bacterium
Lineage: Bacteria
Description: bacterial SSU rRNA
Rfam family: Bacterial small subunit ribosomal RNA
Source: RNAcentral